GCCCGAGUGGUGAAAUUGGCAGACACGCAGGUCUCAGAAGCCUGUGACCGAAAGGUUGUGCUGGUUCAAGUCCAGUCUCGGGCA
This 84-nucleotide transfer RNA is filed under the name Bacteroidota bacterium. Its description in RNAcentral is "tRNA-Leu". It matches the Rfam family "tRNA". Rfam says of the family: Transfer RNA (tRNA) molecules are approximately 80 nucleotides in length. Their secondary structure includes four short double-helical elements and three loops (D, anti-codon, and T loops). Further hydrogen bonds mediate the characteristic L-shaped molecular structure. tRNAs have two regions of fundamental functional importance: the anti-codon, which is responsible for specific mRNA codon recognition, and the 3' end, to which the tRNAs corresponding amino acid is attached (by aminoacyl-tRNA synthetases). tRNAs cope with the degeneracy of the genetic code in two manners: having more than one tRNA (with a specific anti-codon) for a particular amino acid; and 'wobble' base-pairing, i.e. permitting non-standard base-pairing at the 3rd anti-codon position. Lineage: Bacteria; Pseudomonadati; Bacteroidota. The record is from RNAcentral.